RNAcentral lists this ribosomal RNA (1202 nucleotides) under metagenome. RNAcentral's name for it is "bacterial SSU rRNA". It matches the Rfam family "Bacterial small subunit ribosomal RNA", at positions 304 to 1498 of the family's 1533-position model. The record is from RNAcentral.
ACGGCCACACUGGAACUGAGACACGGUCCAGACUCCUACGGGAGGCAGCAGCUAAGAAUCUUCCGCAAUGGGGGCAACCCUGACGGAGCGACGCCGCGUGGAUGAUGAAGGCCGUAAGGUUGUAAAAUCCUUUUGUCGGUGAAGAAUAAGCGGGGGAGUGGAAAGCCCCCGUGAUGACGUUAGCCGACGAAUAAGCCCCGGCUAAUUACGUGCCAGCAGCCGCGGUAAUACGUAUGGGGCGAGCGUUGUUCGGAUUUAUUGGGCGUAAAGGGCGUGUAGGCGGCUCAUCAAGUCUGGUGUGAAAACGCAAGGCUUAACCUUGCAUAGGCGCUGGAAACUGGUGGGCUUGAGUUCUUGAGGGGAAGCUGGAAUUCCAGGUGUAGGGGUGAAAUCUGUAGAUAUCUGGAAGAACACCGGUGGCGAAGGCGAGCUUCUAUCAGAGGACUGACGCUGAGGCGCGAAAGCGUGGGGAGCAAACAGGAUUAGAUACCCUGGUAGUCCACGCUGUAAACGAUGUGCACUAGGCGUGGGGCCCGUACGGGUUCUGUGCCGUAGUUAACGUGUUAAGUGCACCGCCUGGGGAGUAUGCUCGCAAGGGUGAAACUCAAAGGAAUUGACGGGGGCCCGCACAAGCGGUGGAGCAUGUGGUUUAAUUCGAUGUACACGAGGAACCUUACCAGGGCUUGACAUGUGCGUGAAUGUCUGUGAGAGCGGGCAGCCCCGCAAGGGGCGCGCACACAGGUGCUGCAUGGCUGUCGUCAACUCGUGUCGUGAGAUGUUGGGUUAAGUCCCGCAACGAGCGCAACCCUUACUGUCUGUUGCUAACGGGUGAAGCCGAGCACUCGGACGGAACUGCCGGUGACAAACCGGAGGAAGGUGGGGAUGACGUCAAGUCAUCAUGGCCCUUAUGUCCUGGGCUACACACGUGCUACAAUGGCAAGUACAAAGCGACGCAAAACGGCGACGUCAAGCAAAUCGCAGAAAGCUUGUCUCAGUGCGGAUUGGAGUCUGAAACCCGACUCCAUGAAGUUGGAAUCGCUAGUAAUCGCGCAUCAGCAUGGCGCGGUGAAUACGUUCCCGGGCCUUGUACACACCGCCCGUCACACCACCCGAGUUGGGGGUACCCGAAGUCAGUUGCCUAACCGCAAGGGGGGCGCUGCCGAAGGUAUGCCUGGUGAGGGGGGUGAAGUCGUAACAAGGUA